UACGGAGGAUGCGAGCGUUAUCCGGAUUUAUUGGGUUUAAAGGGUGCGCAGGCGGGUCCUUAAGUCAGCGGUGAAAUACCACGGCUCAACCGUGGGGCUGCCGUUGAUACUGGGGGUCUUGAGUACGAGCGGCGCCGGCGGAAUGUGUCAUGUAGCGGUGAAAUGCAUAGAUAUGACACAGAACACCGAUCGCGAAGGCAGCUGGCGAGGACGAUACUGACGCUGAGGCACGAAAGCGUGGGGAUCAAAC
This 250-nucleotide ribosomal RNA is filed under the name uncultured prokaryote. RNAcentral's name for it is "partial 16S ribosomal RNA". It matches the Rfam family "Bacterial small subunit ribosomal RNA", at positions 524 to 773 of the family's 1533-position model. The record is from RNAcentral.